GGGGAAUAACUUUUCCACGAUAUUCUCAUUUUUUGAGAUGCACCUCUACCUAAGGGUGUGCAAACUUUUGCACGCAACACUAUCAAAUCGCAUACAGUAUAAUCAUGAAAACUGGCAAGAGGUACACUAGCCUAACUUUGAUCAUUUCAGUGUGUGUGUGUGUGUAGUUUUUAAGAUAUCUACUAAGUAUGCUGUGUCCUGCCUCUAUAAUGUCAUGUAGCCUUGUCCAGUGUGGCUGCGCUCGAUUUGCGCAGAUUAAACACUCUCAUUAGGUCAAUGAAGCACCAGGAGGGUCGCGUGAGGGGCGGGACCGCGAGCCAAAAAAACGGAAAGUCACGGCUAGUGCAGACUUCCUUUCUCCAAGGUGUCACAUCCAGGCAAAAAAAAAAGAGAGAGAGAGAGAGGAAAAAGUCGACAAAAACAAGGUUUCUCUCCAGAACCAUUUUGAAUGCUCUGGGAAAAAACCCCGAGGCGCGUGCAAAAAGUUCAAGCAGGCCUUUUCUUUCAAACACUCCAUGAAAAGUGGGCUCCGGUGUUGUUUACAUGAUUUUUAAAGGAUAAAAUACUCCUACACGGAUAAGGUGGAUACAAUGGCUGACCAGGAAAUAUCUAUGGAUGACAGUAUAACAGUAGUUGUGUUGGUGUUACAGUGUGAAUCUCAGCAGGCUGUGUCUCCUAGAGAGGACACAGAUGUUUAACACGACCAAUGUGGGCGGAAAUGAAGUUGCAGUUUUACACUUCCUUCUCCCUAGCUGCAGCUCUGUGGACUUUCUGAAGCAAUCUUCAUGCUCAGUUAUGCACACAGCUGCGGAUAUGGUACAUGACAUUGAUUUUUUAUUAAAGUUAGUUUGGGUUUGAAGCAGAUAAUUGAACCUGGCUACCUGGUUUAGCACAGGCUUUAAGUCUGGUUCCUUUAAAAGAAGGACAAAACAUUUGAUGGGGUUUUCAGCUGCAAAGCUACAACCGUGCUAGUGAUGGGCGACUCGUGAGCUGCUCGAUUCUUUUUAAGUUACUCAUUAUUAAAGCGAGUCGUCCGAAUCGAAUCUUUAGUCAGCCGUGUUGUGGGUUGUUUUCUGCUUCUUUUAUUUGACUUUUUUUUUCUUUUUUUAAUGUUUUUUAUUUAUUUACAUUUUCCAUGCUGUUAUGCUUGACCAGAAUGAAAAGGACAUUUAUGCUACAUUUUAAGUUGGUUUUUGGAUUGACUUUUUCCUACUUGUAGAGUCUCAAAUGUAAAGUAGUUGUAAAGUCUUUGUUGUGUUUACUAACACUUUGACUAUUGUAAAAUAGUUUAAUCAUAUAAAUAUGCAUGGCUUGAUAUGCCUCAGUGACGACUAAAAAAAAAAGGUUUUAUUGAGACACAAUUACCCAAGAUGAACUACUGAGAUUGAAAGUGUAAAGCUCAGGAAUUCGGUUUGAAAAGUAUUUUUGAUUCUCACGUUUGUAAUGACCUUUUUAAGCAUAACUUUUAGGUCGAAAACUUGACUACUAUAUUUGUUUAUAACGCACAAGUGGCAAUUAGACUAGAUUUGGAGCUGUAAAUAGAUAUAGGCUACUACAUCUCAGGGGAGAGAUAUGUAUAUAUUAGUACAGGCUUACUACUUUUUCUCUAGAGUAAAACAUCAUAAGGUAUAAACUUCUGUACCUGGCCUGCUUAAUUAAUACUUUUUUUUUUUUGGAUGAUUCACACCAGAAGAAUCAAACGGUUCGAAGUCUCAGUUUGAAUCUUUUCGACGGGUUUGUUCGAAAGAAUCGAAUCUGUAAAACUGACUCGUGAUGGCCAUCCCUGAACGGCGCAGCGCGGAGUCACGUGGUACAGUGCUGGAGAGCGCUGAGUCAAUGCAGCAAAAAGUCCGCGUGCCUCAUUACCGCCGUCAUCUUCAUCAUCUCUGGUGAAACCGCAAGGAGAAUGCCGGAUCGCAUUGUGGCAAACCUGCACCAAAGGCAACACACGGUCCGGGACAAUGACUGUGUAACGACUGCUGAGUCAACGAGUGAGAGGGGUCACCACUGCAGCACUGCAGCUCUCGUAUACACACACACACACACACACACACACACACACACACACAUGGACAGGUGCAUGUAUAUACCAUACACACGGUCAGAGGUCCACGCUCUUGUUUGUAACUUGUGGACACAAAGAUGUACAACUCCCCUUACACAAACACCAAACCCGUAUGUGAAUGAUAGACAGUCCAGUUCCUCAGUGGAAGGGCGUGGCUGUGUUCACACACUCAGCAGUGCAACGUGCCGGAGAUCAUGCUGUCAGGGUGCGGCUGUGUGGAACCUCCUGUCUUCUGGUGGUCCUGAUUUCCCUGCAGCUGCACGGCAGAAACAGCACGAACCCCAUUACUCUAACACAGCCAGUGGAAAUGACUUGUAAUUGCUUCAGCCACCGUCAGUCCGUCGCUUUUACUGAUUAAUAAAUAAUAUUUAAGUGACAUGAAAACAUCCAGGACUUGGCAGAUUGAUUCCUGCUCAUUCUGUCGUGUAACCAGAGGAAGUCGAUCAUGUCUUGGACUACCGUGUCCACGUAGGGACUCACACACAGAAAGUGGCCUGUGUUUUCCGUUCACGUCAGAGGCCAGGCGUCAGUCUUGUAGCUCUUCAUUUUGAGCGAUUAAGACAAAACUAAAAACGAUUCAACUAUUCUUCUUUGUUCAGUUAGAUUUCUUUAAUUAGCGAAUGCUUAUAUGACUGGUGAGAGAAAAGUUUUGUUUUUAUUAGCUUUAAUAGAGAGGGGGAGAAAGAGACGCCGGUGAGGGAAGCUGUUAAAGCUGUAAUAACAUAAGCGAUAACAGGAGCUAUAACUGCGAUCUGAUGGAAAAGUAUGACGUUCUUUAAUAAGUUAAAAAUUGCAAUCGGUUCCGAUUGUUGUGGCGUAAGAGGAAUAAAAGCACCAGGAUUUAGCGAUCGCAGAAACGAACGCAAAAUCGAGCAAACUCCGCAAUAUUCGGAGGAGCUUAGAAAUUUUCAAACUUAACCGUCGAUUUUCCGCAGAUUCGGGCAGAGGCAUUCAGCCAAAGCUCUCUUCGAUUCACGUGCGUCAGACAUGAGUACGGCAAAACGAUUUCGUGCAACAGCAGUUUCAACAGUCCGCGUAGUUUUCCGAAGGGGAAAAAAAAAAAAAGCACAAAAUACUCUGCAAAUUUUGAAAAAAGCCGCAGCAAAAUCGAGCAUUUUUAGCCGCAAAAAAAAAA
Molecule: long non-coding RNA, 3200 nt
Organism: Ictalurus punctatus (channel catfish)
Lineage: Eukaryota; Metazoa; Chordata; Actinopteri; Siluriformes; Ictaluridae
Source: Ensembl